This 253-nucleotide ribosomal RNA is filed under the name uncultured bacterium. RNAcentral's name for it is "partial 16S ribosomal RNA". It matches the Rfam family "Bacterial small subunit ribosomal RNA", at positions 524 to 776 of the family's 1533-position model. The record is from RNAcentral.
UACGGAGGGUGCAAGCGUUAUCCGGAAUCACUGGGUUUAAAGGGUGCGUAGGCGGUUUAAUAAGUCAGAAGUGAAAAGUCCGAGCUUAACUGGGGCCUUGCUUUUGAUACUGUUAGACUUGAAACAGGCUGAGGUUAGCGGAAUGUGUCAUGUAGCGGUGAAAUGCAUAGAUAUGACAUAGAACACCAAUUGCGAAGGCAGCUGGCUAGACCUUGUUUGACGCUGAGGCACGAAAGCGUGGGGAGCGAACAGG